AUGUUAUGGAGCAUUACCGCCACUACCUGGUAUGGUAUCUGGAUUCAAUACAAAGUAGUGACGUUACGCGCUGUGCCGAGGCUUCAGAGCGUGUGUCGAGUAAUCCAGGAAGUGCACCAGCCUUUGAAGCAAAUGUUCGUAGUGACCAAACCGUGGAAUUACAAUUUCCGUGUCAGUCACGUGAUGCCAUGGGACCAAAAAUACUUUAUCCCAUUGACCAACGUCGGGAAAGAGACUAAAUCAGCGUGGUUUUGUGUGGACACCUUCAGCAAUACUCCGGCAGCAACAACGGAGCAUCUCGGGAUUCCUUAUUCCUGUCCAGAGCCAACCAACCGUACGCCCCUCUCCUACUCACCCUGCCACAGCAUGCAGUCAGUCCACAGUCACUUCCCAUUAUCCAUAGGCAUACCAAUAACUUCAACCACCUGGGUCGUGCUUUUUCUAACUGCCAUCUUGCACUUCUGCUCUUUCCGCAGAGGUGCUCAUGGGCUACCUGCUCCCACAACCAGACCACGCAUGCAGACUGACGAGCACAGCACCCCGGCACACCUGUUAAGGCACAGAAGUACUCCCCGACAACUCAGUUAUGCAUUCCCAUAAUCCCACAAGCAAAUCCUUCCUGUCCAACCAUUAAACUAAAGCUACGGCCACUCCCUUUCUCCACUUCUGUCCUUCUGGAUGAUGCAUGCAACAGAGACGCGUCGGUGGCAAUAUUUCCUGUCUUCUCGGUGUAGCAUUUAAUUAUUCUAUGACGACUUUGUUAAGAUAAUCUAAUGAACAAUGUCUUAUUUAUUAAGUUUGCAAUAUAUGAUCUAUGUAGACCUGAGUAUGACCCAUGCCAUAUGUGCAUAACUGAUACAUGACUGAUAUGGUCUCCAGGCUCUAAUAAAGUUAAGGGGACCACUCAAAGGUCAUGAGGAAGUGACCUUCACAUCUGGAAUAGAUUGUCUUUGUGCUAUGGAGUCUGAGGUAAUUCAAUAUAUGUUACAAGGGUUGGGCGUUCACUUACAACUGCUAUUUAAGGUUAAGUUUAUCUUUGUCAGUUGGGACUCUUCACGAUUGUAUGCUUGGUAGCAGGUAGAGUUCUUAUUAUUAUUUGUUGCACAACAAAAUAAUAAUUAAUCAACUAUAUAUGUGUUUGUGUUUUAUUGAUUCCUCUCUGUUUAAUACCACAAUGAAUAUCCUCGACAACUUCAUCACUCAACCUGAGGAUGUCCAGCUUUACACAGUCCAUAGGUUUCGGUGGCUACAUAGAGGGAAACGGUCAAACCAUGCCAGUCGUCGGCCGCUGGUCAUCCCAGGCAUGUUGCUCCUACAUCCGCAGCAGUCUGAAUGAUCUCCGUCAAGUCCAUACGCUUAUUUUAAAUGCAAUUCUUUUGGGGGCUUGAAUUCAGAUCAGGCAGAAACACACCUGAGACAGAAGCCCCACUCUGAGUCUCUCUCUGUCUGGACUUCAGUACGUCCUCCGGACCAGCCUAACAGACAACAUGCCUCUUCCUUCUUCACCCCUCCCCCUCACAAUCCUUCAUCAGUCCUCAACAUUCAAUACCCACUACCAAACCAUUACAUCUUUAUAAAUGAUACUGCAUUGCUUUGUGUAUAUCUGUUGUGUACCGGCUGUGAAAACAAAUAUCCCUCUGGGACAAUAAAUCUAAAUCAAAUCUUAUACUCCCCUUGUGGGACGCCACAAGUAAUCCCCUUUCUGCACAAAUUGUUACCACUUUUUAUAGCUUUUAAACCAGUUCAACACCAAGUCCAAUCCCAUACCUUCCCAAUGUAUUAGGUAUGUCAUGAUCAAUGUUAUCGAAUGCAUAUUUUUAAUUAUCUCUAUAACUGGUUAUUUCUUCUAUUAAUUCCAUGCUAUAGAUGUUGAUUUGUUCGUUCUGAAUCCAUACUGACUGUCCAAAAACAAUUUGUGCUUCUCAAUAGAAUUGUCCAACUUUUUAUUAAAAAGCUUUUCCAAU
Long non-coding RNA from Cottoperca gobio, 1964 nucleotides. NCBI's taxonomy places the organism in Eukaryota, Metazoa, Chordata, Actinopteri, Perciformes, Bovichtidae. The record is from Ensembl.